GUCUGCCUACGGGGCGCAGCAGUGGGGAAUAUUGGGCAAUGGGCGCAAGCCUGACCCAGCAACGCCGCGUGAAGGAAGAAGGCUUUCGGGUUGUAAACUUCUUUUCUUGGGGACGAAGAAAGUGACGGUACCCAAGGAAUAAGCCACGGCUAACUACGUGCCAGCAGCCGCGGUAAUACGUAGGUGGCAAGCAUUAUCAGGAUUUAUUGGGUGUAAAGGGCGUGUAGGCGGGAUUGCAAGUCAGAUGUGAAAACCACG
RNAcentral lists this ribosomal RNA (258 nucleotides) under uncultured bacterium. RNAcentral describes it as "partial 16S ribosomal RNA". It matches the Rfam family "Bacterial small subunit ribosomal RNA", at positions 333 to 605 of the family's 1533-position model. The record is from RNAcentral.